Molecule: ribosomal RNA, 1346 nt
Filed under: uncultured bacterium
Lineage: Bacteria
Description: partial 16S ribosomal RNA
Rfam family: Bacterial small subunit ribosomal RNA
Source: RNAcentral
GACGAACGCUUGCGGCGUGCUUAACACAUGCAAGUCGAACGGAAAGGCCCUGCUUUUGUGGGGUGCUCGAGUGGCGAACGGGUGAGUAACACGUGAGUAACCUGCCCUUGACUUUGGGAUAACUUCAGGAAACUGGGGCUAAUACCGGAUAGGAGCUCCUGCUGCAUGGUGGGGGUUGGAAAGUUUCGGCGGUUGGGGAUGGACUCGCGGCUUAUCAGCUUGUUGGUGGGGUAGUGGCUUACCAAGGCUUUGACGGGUAGCCGGCCUGAGAGGGUGACCGGCCACAUUGGGACUGAGAUACGGCCCAGACUCCUACGGGAGGCAGCAGUGGGGAAUAUUGCACAAUGGGCGGAAGCCUGAUGCAGCAACGCCGCGUGCGGGAUGACGGCCUUCGGGUUGUAAACCGCUUUCGCCUGUGACGAAGCGUGAGUGACGGUAAUGGGUAAAGAAGCACCGGCUAACUACGUGCCAGCAGCCGCGGUGAUACGUAGGGUGCGAGCGUUGUCCGGAUUUAUUGGGCGUAAAGGGCUCGUAGGUGGUUGAUCGCGUCGGAAGUGUAAUCUUGGGGCUUAACCCUGAGCGUGCUUUCGAUACGGGUUGACUUGAGGAAGGUAGGGGAGAAUGGGAUUCCUGGUGGAGCGGUGGAAUGCGCAGAUAUCAGGAGGAACACCAGUGGCGAAGGCGGUUCUCUGGGCCUUUCCUGACGCUGAGGAGCGAAAGCGUGGGGAGCGAACAGGCUUAGAUACCCUGGUAGUCCACGCUGUAAACGGUGGGUACUAGGUGUGGGGUCCAUUCCACGGGUUCCGUGCCGUAGCUAACGCUUUAAGUACCCCGCCUGGGGAGUACGGCCGCAAGGCUAAAACUCAAAGGAAUUGACGGGGCCCCGCACAAGCGGCGGAGCAUGCGGAUUAAUUCGAUGCAACGCGUAGAACCUUACCUGGGUUUGACAUGGAUCGGGAGUGCUCAGAGAUGGGUGUGCCUCUUUUGGGGUCGGUUCACAGGUGGUGCAUGGCUGUCGUCAGCUCGUGCCGUGAGAUGUUGGGUUAAGUCCCGCAACGAGCGCAACCCUUGUUCACUGUUGCCAGCACGUUAUGGUGGGGACUCAGUGGAGACCGCCGGGGUCAACUCGGAGGAAGGUGGGGAUGACGUCAAGUCAUCAUGCCCCUUAUGUCCAGGGCUUCACGCAUGCUACAAUGGCUGGUACAGAGAGUGGCGAGCCUGUGAGGGUGAGCGAAUCUCGGAAAGCCGGUCUCAGUUCGGAUUGGGGUCUGCAACUCGACCUCAUGAAGUCGGAGUCGCUAGUAAUCGCAGAUCAGCAACGCUGCGGUGAAUACGUUCCCGGGGCU